This 1367-nucleotide long non-coding RNA is filed under the name Lynx pardinus (Iberian lynx). Lineage: Eukaryota; Metazoa; Chordata; Mammalia; Carnivora; Felidae. The record is from RNAcentral.
CCGGGGUAUUCUGUCAGCUGGGAAUCCGCGGACACGAAGACCCAGGCGUUGAGGCUCACUAAGGUGCAAUCCGUGAAUCUCCUGUCCCAGACAACCGGGAUCCGAGACAGAAUCUAGACCAUUCGGCUCCUCAAGCCCCAGACCCCGGAUCUCACCUGAGGACGUGAGCCAGUGAUGGGCUGGGACGAGGCCGGGUCCCAGCACCUGGGACUGUGGGUCUUGAUGAUGCUGGGGGUCCUUUUCCCGGAAGCCUGCCAGGCACACCCUAUCCCUGACUCCAGCCCCCUCCUCCAAUUCGGGGGCCAAGUUCGACAGCGGUUCCUCUACACGGACGACGCCCAGGAGACAGAGGUCCACCUCGAGAUCAAGGCUGAUGGCACAGUGGUGGGGACCGCUCGCCGGAGCCCUGAGAGUGAGUGCAUAGACAGAGCCUGGUCUGAGGGAGCAGGGGCUGGGGGGCCCAGACCCCUGGGUCUGAGAGAGACGGGCCUGGGCAGAGGUCCUCUGAGCCCCUGACCACUCUCUCCUCUCAGGUCUCUUGGAGCUAAAAGCCCUGAAGCCGGGAGUAAUUCAAAUCUUGGGGGUCAAAACGUCCAGGUUCCUGUGCCAGGGCCCAGAUGGGACACUGUAUGGAUCGGUGAGUUUCUGGGAUCGCCCCCCCCUCCUCGUACUCCCCCCUCCGUAUCACCUUCACCACCCAGGGUUCCACCUCUCGCACCUUGGGCCUGAGCCGGGCUUGGUUCUGUGCUCCCUGCGUGGCCCCCCCCGCCUCGCCACCUCCCCUGCACGCGGGAGCUGACCUCAUCAUUUGUGCACAAGGGGAAACUGAGGCUCGGGCAGGGACACACCAGCUCCGAGUCACGAGGCCCGUGAAGGACGGAGCGCCUGAGUCCUGUGACCUGUGACCCCUGCUGGGCCGCAUGGGCUCCUAGCUGCCUGCUUCACGCCGGGCACAGGGCUGCUCAGGGGACCCAUGGCCUGUAAAGUGACCAUGACCCCUUGGGUGGAAGCCAGACGCCUCCGUCUGGACUCAGAGAGCCUUGACUGGUCCCCGGGCUGGAAUAUUGGUCUCUGUGAAGUGAAGCCAGGGAGGUAGGCCUUGCAGGACUGCCCAGGGGUAAAGGGAGAGCCUGCUUCUGUUGCCUGUGUCCCGGAGGAGGGGCUGGGGGCCGGGACUCCUGGGUCCUGCAGCAGGAAGGUGCAGAGGAAUCCCGUAUCUCCGACGUCCGCUCUUGUCCCCUCAGCUCCGCUUUGACCCCGCAGCCUGCAGCUUCCGGGAACUGCUUCUGGAGGACGGAUACAACAUCUACCACUCGGAGACCCUCGGGCUCCCACUCCGCCUGCCCCCCCACAACUCCCCAUACCGG